CAAGUGGAGAGUUUGAUCCUGGCUCAGAACGAACGCUGGCGGCGUGCCUAACACAUGCAAGUCGAGCGCGAAAGGGGGGGCAACUCCCCGAGUAGAGCGGCGCACGGGUGAGUAACGC
Molecule: ribosomal RNA, 118 nt
Filed under: Deltaproteobacteria bacterium
Lineage: Bacteria; Pseudomonadati; Myxococcota; Myxococcia
Description: partial 16S ribosomal RNA
Rfam family: Bacterial small subunit ribosomal RNA
Source: RNAcentral